RNAcentral lists this ribosomal RNA (440 nucleotides) under uncultured bacterium. RNAcentral's name for it is "partial 16S ribosomal RNA". It matches the Rfam family "Bacterial small subunit ribosomal RNA", at positions 338 to 795 of the family's 1533-position model. The record is from RNAcentral.
CCUACGGGAGGCAGCAGUGGGGAAUAUUGCUCAAUGGGGGAAACUCUGAUCCAGCGACGCCGCGUGAGUGAAGAAGUAUCUCGGUACGUAAAGCUCUAUCAGCAGGGAAGAAAAUGACGGUACCUGACUAAGAAGCCCCGGCUAACUACGUGCCAGCAGCCGCGGUAAUACGUCGGGGGCAAGCGUUAUCCGGAUUUACUGGGUGUAAAGGGAGCGUAGGCGGCAGCACAAGUCUGGAGUGAAAUCCCGGAGCUUAACCCCGGAACUGCUUUGGAAACUGUGGGGCUGGAGUGCAGUCGGGGUAAGCGGAAUGCCUGGUGUAGCGGUGAAAUGCGUAGAGAUCAGGAGGAACACCGGUGGCGAAGGCGGCUUACUGGACUGUAACUGACGUUGAGGCUCGAAAGCGUGGGGAGCAAACAGGAUUAGAUACCCGAGUAGUC